This 318-nucleotide long non-coding RNA is filed under the name Nilaparvata lugens (brown planthopper). RNAcentral's name for it is "uncharacterized LOC120354184". Lineage: Eukaryota; Metazoa; Arthropoda; Insecta; Hemiptera; Delphacidae. The record is from RNAcentral.
UUAAUUUUAAAGCUGUGAGUGGAAUCGUGGAUGUGAUGUGAUCGUCUAUUUUUGUUAUCUCUAUCCGUUGAAUGAUUGAAAGGUGCAGUGUGGAACAUCAAGUCUACUUCCAGUGCCCCAAAUGAAGAAAUCCAUAUAAUAAUCCAAAAUUGGUUUUGAUUCUCCAAAGACCAUGAUGGAGGUCGAGAAAAACGGAGAAAUGAUCCAGCAACCAAUCACAUGUAACUAGGCCAAGUGCCAAUAAGUAAAUUUUUAGAGAAUCUCAAACAUCCAUAAUCUUUUUUGUAAUAAUUUUACAAUAUACAAACUUUUCAUGCA